Molecule: unclassified non-coding RNA, 254 nt
Filed under: Hevea brasiliensis (rubber tree)
Lineage: Eukaryota; Viridiplantae; Streptophyta; Magnoliopsida; Malpighiales; Euphorbiaceae
Source: RNAcentral
UUGCAAUAGGCCAGCCUCACUGAAUGGGAUGAUCAUUUGUGAUGCCAAAACCUCAUCUCUUUCCUGCAGCCAAGCUGAAUACUGCUGCAUGCUAAAUGAUGUGCAACUAUAUCAAUUCUCUUUCAGAUUGUGCAGUGAAGUCUAGUACAAUAAAGGUGAUUUUACUUCGUGAUGCUAAUGGCGAUGCGUAGAGGAGAAUCUUCAGCCAGCAUGGACUCAACGGGGCGUAUCUUUACUCUCAUUCCAGUAACUUG